Molecule: ribosomal RNA, 253 nt
Filed under: uncultured bacterium
Lineage: Bacteria
Description: partial 16S ribosomal RNA
Rfam family: Bacterial small subunit ribosomal RNA
Source: RNAcentral
GACGUAGGAUGCAAGCGUUGUCCGGAUUUAUUGGGCGUAAAGAGUUCGUAGGUGGUUUGUUAAGUCUGAUGUUAAAGAUCGGGGCUCAACCUCGGGAGUGCAUUGGAUACUGGCAGACUUGAGUAUGGUAGAGGCAAGUGGAAUUCCCAGUGUAGCGGUGAAAUGCGUAGAUAUUGGGAAGAACACCGGUGGCGCAAGCGACUUGCUGGGCCAUUACUGACACUGAGGAACGAAAGCUAGGGUAGCGAAUGGG